Molecule: ribosomal RNA, 492 nt
Filed under: uncultured bacterium
Lineage: Bacteria
Description: partial 16S ribosomal RNA
Rfam family: Bacterial small subunit ribosomal RNA
Source: RNAcentral
AGUGAACGCUGGCGGUAGGCCUAACACAUGCAAGUCGAACGGCAGCACAGUAAGAGCUUGCUCUUACGGGUGGCGAGUGGCGGACGGGUGAGGAAUACAUCGGACUCUACUUUUUCGUGGGGGAUAACGUAGGGAAACUUACGCUAAUACCGCAUACGACCUACGGGUGAAAGCAGGGGAUCUUCGGACCUUGCGGGAUUGAAUGAGCCGAUGUCGGAUUAGCUAGUUGGCGGGGUAAAGGCCCACCAAGGCGACGAUCCGUGGCUGGUCUGAGAGGAUGAUCAGCCACACUGGAACUGAGACACGGUCCAGACUCCUGCGGGAGGCAGCAGUGGGGAAUAUUAGACAAUAGGCGCAAGCCUGGUCCAGCCAUACCGCGUGGGUGAAGAAGGCCUUCGGGUUGUAAAGCCCUUUUGUUGGGAAAGAAAAGCAGCAGGUUAAUACCCCGCUGUUCUGACGGUACCCAAAGAAUAAGCACCGGCUAACUUCGUG